GAUGAAGAACGUAGCGAAAUGCGAUAAGUAUUGUGAAUUGCAGAAUUCCGUGAAUCAUCGAAUCUUUGAACGCACAUUGCGCCCCUUGGUAUUCCGGGGGGCAUGCCUGUUCGAGCGUCAUUUCAACCCUCAAGCUCUGCUUGGUCUUGGGCCGCGCCGGCGACGGCGGGCCUCAAAAACAGUGGCGGCGCCAUCUGGUUCCUCAGCGUAGUAAUUCUUCUCGCUGUUGGGCCCGGGUGGCCGCUGGCCAGCAACCCCAAAUUUUCUAUGGUUGACCUCGGAUCAGGUAGGGAUACCCGCUGAACUUAAGCAUAUCAAUAAGCGGAGGA
RNAcentral lists this unclassified non-coding RNA (329 nucleotides) under soil metagenome. RNAcentral's name for it is "partial contains 5.8S ribosomal RNA, internal transcribed spacer 2, and large subunit ribosomal RNA". The stretch from base 1 to 120 matches the Rfam family "5.8S ribosomal RNA", at positions 35 to 154 of the family's 154-position model. The record is from RNAcentral.